Molecule: long non-coding RNA, 2524 nt
Filed under: Triticum aestivum (bread wheat)
Lineage: Eukaryota; Viridiplantae; Streptophyta; Magnoliopsida; Poales; Poaceae
Description: long non-coding RNA (TAES_LNC019996)
Source: RNAcentral
CCUCGCCUCCACCCCAUCCACUUCCCGUUUGUUGCCUCUCCAAGAUUACAGCAUGGUGCUCUGUGGCUGCGGCAAUGGAGCUGAUGGUGCGCCAGCCGACCAGUUGAACGGAGGCAGUAGCACGGGGCAGCGGCAACAACCUAGAGGGCGUCCAGUUGAUCGGCAAUGUACAAAUGUUCGUGAUGCCUUUAUAUCCUCCUACUUGAAGCAACAAUUUGUCUCGUCCAUGGUACAUGCAUGCAGUUUUAGUUCUUUAGCAAUUUCAGAUCGAUGUUUAUUUGUUUCUUAGUUAUAAUCUGUACUGCGAUGUACUUGUGUUGCUUUAGAUUAAGGAGAGGCCCCUGGUAAAUGGCUUGGCAAAUGCAUAUAUCAUACGGGGGAAAGAAAAAUUGAGUCUUGAUGAGUUGAACACAGUAGUGACAUUAUUAUGAAAUAUGCAUGCAUCUUGUAGUCACCAAGGAUGCUCUAGAUCUGGUAAUAUUUAUUUUGGUCCAACAAAAAAGUGGGGUACAAAGCUUGUUAUGAACGUCCUAAAAUAUAUAAUUGUUGCAUAUAUAUGGGCUGUGUGCUUGUUUUGGAGCUGUUGAGAUGAUGCUUGUGCGCAACAUUAAUUUUUUUUCUCAAGAACAGAUUAAUUUCAACAGAAAAGUACAUGUUGACCGAUGAUUAAUUUCAAUGUUCAGCGGUACCAUUAAGUAGUGGCUCUAGAACUAAGCAACAUUGUAUCAUUCUCAAGAACAGAUUACCUUUUGUGACUUGUCUGUUUGGCAAGCAUUGAGUUGUAUAUAAAUUUCUUUCUCCUUAGUAUCUAAACUAGAGCAUCGAGUUAUAUAUAAAUUACUUAUUCCUUACUAUCUAAAUUAGAGCAUCGGGCUGUUCUGUUUUUUGUUUAUUAAUAAUAUGAGGACAGCCUAGUAAGCAAAGUUGCUUUCUUAGUUACCUACACUUCAUAACUGACCGGUGUUCUUUUCUCAUUUGAUUUUCAGGUAAUGGAACUGCAAAUAGGAGUGGCAGCGGUAACCAUGAUGCAAGUGCAAGUGGUUCCCAAAGAUCUUGGAAAGGUAACAUACUAACAUGAUAUGAGCUGUGAGAUUGCAUGGGGAUCUUAUAGAGCUCUAACUUAGUUCAAAUAAAAAAAGAUGGCAUAGAGCUCUCACUUAAUUCAGUAGUUCCAUGAAACAUAUUUUGUAUUUUUCGUAAAUUGGUUGAAGUUUUUUUGUGUACAUAACAGUACACUGUGCUGUCCAUGUAGUGAGAUGAGGAUGAUCACAAUUCAGAGUAUUUGGAUCUCUCUUUCAUAUUUCUAUAUAGUAAGGCAUAUAUCUUGAUCUGUAUGGCUUGUCAAGAAGAAGACCAAGGACGUCAACAGCCUAUACCCUGUUGCUCUGGUAAGUCUCUUCUUUUUGUUGUUUUAUCAUUCAUGAUAAUUGCUUAGAAAAUUUUAGUUACUUGGAGCUGCUAGUUACUUAGAUGCAUGCACUUUCUAUCCAUGCCUAGCCUCAUUACCAUGUUAAGCAAUGCAUUUAUAUUAUCCUGAAAUGUUACCACUUGACUAUUGUUGCACUAGACACUUUCCUAUUAGUCCAUUUUUAUUUCAUUAUGCACAGAGUGGAACAAGAAAAUUCUGAUGUUGAACUACAUCCAUCCUGAUCCUUUCUCUAUUUUCUCUAAACCAGAAAUGCCACAUGAAGAACUAAGGAUAUCAAGAUGCUUUUGGAUGUAUGCAAGCUUGGAGCUCCUGUUUUAUAGGUAUGUUAACCACUAUAUUUAUCCUGCAAUAUGUUUGAGCUUAUGCAUGAUUUUUUAUUCACAAUUUUCACCGUGGAUUUUCCUUCUGUAUGACAAUUGACAAAUGGCUUGUCCAAGCCAACAGUGGGCUGUUUGUGUCUAUGUUGCUUGCUUUGUAUCCUUAGUUUUGUUGUGCUGGAGUGCAAACUAUAAACUAGAAUUCAUCAUUCAAGUGUAUGGAGGCAUUUAACCUUUUUCCUGAAUCUUUUUGGUGAAUAAAAAACUAUAUUGCUUCAUUAGAUUCGUUAUUUGAUUCAUGAGUAUGCAUAACAUUUGACUAUUGUUCUACUAGCUACUUGUCCUGAUAAUCCAUUUUAUUUUUUGUUGCACAAAGUGGCAGAAGAUAAUUCCGAUGCAGAACUACCUCCAUCCUGACCCUUCCUCUCUUUUCUCUAAACCAGAAAUGGCAUGUGAAGAAUAGCCAGGGAUAUCAAGAAGCUUUUGGAUGUAGGCAAACUUGGAGCUGUUGUUUCAAUGUCAUGCUUUGAUGGUUGUCUUUUGGAGCUGUUGUUUCUAUGUGUAAUCCUUUAAGUCUGUUGGUUGUACCAGACUAUUUGAACUCUGAACUACGUUAUGAUGGUUGAACUGAUGUUGGACUAUUAAGGGUUAUGUUGGAGGCAACUUUAUAACUAAUGUGUGCCUGUUAUUUUGGACAGAUGCAGUUUUAUUAAUCCCUAGAGCUUAUUUGCUGAAGUUUAUAUGAUCAAUCUUGAUGGUUGUUGUGCUGCUAUGUUUA